This 805-nucleotide ribosomal RNA is filed under the name Streptococcus salivarius. RNAcentral's name for it is "bacterial SSU rRNA". It matches the Rfam family "Bacterial small subunit ribosomal RNA", at positions 135 to 927 of the family's 1533-position model. The record is from RNAcentral. Lineage: Bacteria; Bacillati; Bacillota; Bacilli; Lactobacillales; Streptococcaceae.
AGCGGGGGAUAACUAUUGGAAACGAUAGCUAAUACCGCAUAACAAUGGAUGACACAUGUCAUUUAUUUGAAAGGGGCAAUUGCUCCACUACAAGAUGGACCUGCGUUGUAUUAGCUAGUAGGUGAGGUAACGGCUCACCUAGGCGACGAUACAUAGCCGACCUGAGAGGGUGAUCGGCCACACUGGGACUGAGACACGGCCCAGACUCCUACGGGAGGCAGCAGUAGGGAAUCUUCGGCAAUGGGGGCAACCCUGACCGAGCAACGCCGCGUGAGUGAAGAAGGUUUUCGGAUCGUAAAGCUCUGUUGUAAGUCAAGAACGAGUGUGAGAGUGGAAAAUUCACACUGUGACGGUAGCUUACCAGAAAGGGACGGCUAACUACGUGCCAGCAGCCGCGGUAAUACGUAGGUCCCGAGCGUUGUCCGGAUUUAUUGGGCGUAAAGCGAGCGCAGGCGGUUUGAUAAGUCUGAAGUUAAAGGCUGUGGCUCAACCAUAGUUCGCUUUGGAAACUGUCAAACUUGAGUGCAGAAGGGGAGAGUGGAAUUCCAUGUGUAGCGGUGAAAUGCGUAGAUAUAUGGAGGAACACCGGUGGCGAAAGCGGCUCUCUGGUCUGUAACUGACGCUGAGGCUCGAAAGCGUGGGGAGCGAACAGGAUUAGAUACCCUGGUAGUCCACGCCGUAAACGAUGAGUGCUAGGUGUUGGAUCCUUUCCGGGAUUCAGUGCCGCAGCUAACGCAUUAAGCACUCCGCCUGGGGAGUACGACCGCAAGGUUGAAACUCAAAGGAAUUGACGGGGGCCCGCACA